UAAUUAAACAAACCAAAUGGCAUCACUGGUGGUUCUUUUUCCACUCCGCUAAACUGUCAUCUCAAACAAAAACAAAUGGAUCAUACAACUGCUAUGAAUACAUUCGACUCGUUUGCUUCCAUCAAUCGGUAAGUGAGAAAGAUGAUUUCUCCCAUCAGUGCGGAUUUCCACUUCUAUCACAGCAGCCAACAACAUCCGUUUUCCUGCAGCAGUAACCUAUAACCCCUGUUGGCGAUGCCGGGGGACAGCAUCAACAGCAGCAGCAGCAGAAUUUGACCAUGGUAUGGUAUUGCGAAGAACUUUCCCCAUUAGAGGUUCCGUGCUUCGCGCACAUUCAAAAUCCUCUUCAGACACGAAAACUCAACGACAAGGAGGUAUUUAUCAACUUGCUCAGCUGAAUUACCACCCGGAGGAACCCGAAUGCACUGAUUCCGUUGUAUAGUAGAAUGAAAAUAGGCGAGGUAAGCGAACGUAAUCGCAUGAUAUUUUAAUAGUUCGCAUUUUUAUCCGGAUCAUACAACUGCUAUGAAUACAUCCGACUCAAUCAAUCGGCGAAUGAGAAAGAUGAUUUCCCUCAUCACCACAUUGCUUAUUUCCACUUCUGUCACGCCAGCCAACAGCAUCAGCUUUCCCGCAGCAGUAUCCUUUAAGUCCAGGGUGCUAUUCCGGGGAACAGCAUCAUCAGUAACAGCAGCAGGACCUGGCCAUCGAUAGUAUUUCGAGCAAUUUUCCCCAUCGGAGAUCCCGUGCUUCACGCACAUUGAAGAAACCUCCUCAGCCACAUAUGUGUGUCAAGGAGAAAAAGGAGCUGGAUUCGAAUCGUCAAUCCAGACAACCUGAAUGCACCGAUUGCAUUAUAUAUCUUGUUUAUAUUUUAUAUGCAUUUUGUGUUUUUUUGAAUAAAAUGAUUAAAAUCGA
Molecule: long non-coding RNA, 918 nt
Organism: Toxorhynchites rutilus septentrionalis
Lineage: Eukaryota; Metazoa; Arthropoda; Insecta; Diptera; Culicidae
Exons: 3
Source: RefSeq, a predicted model, not a curated record